Elaeis guineensis (African oil palm) is the source of this 1599-nucleotide non-coding RNA. Lineage: Eukaryota; Viridiplantae; Streptophyta; Magnoliopsida; Arecales; Arecaceae. The record is from RefSeq and is a predicted model, not a curated record.
UUUCCUAUUCUGCUCAAAACAUUUAUAACCUUGGAACAAGUUUAAUGUGUAUAUCCUUCUGAUCAGAGCACAACAUAUUGUGCUUGCAGGGGGAAAGUAAUUUCAGGGAUGGCUUUUAUUACAUGUCUUAGCUUUGGUUGUCUCUUCUGUACAUUCCAUUCAUCUCAUUAUUAUAUAACCUCAAUGUCCAAUGAAGUAGAUUGAUCCCUCUUCGGAAUCUUUUUCCUGUUUAAUAAAAAAAACUGCAUAUUGGGACUCUUCAAUCAAUUGAAAUCAGUCAAAUCAUGGGCAAAUGACCUUCAAGAAUUGUAAAUUUAAUAGAGACAAAUGACCAAAACAUGAAAAUAAUGGUUUUUGUUUGUUGUCUGAAGCAAGUUCAAAAUGAGAAUUCCCAUGUUAUUGCAAGACUUGACUAGAUGAAAUCCUUAGCGCAUUCAUAUUUUGUAGCUAGGUACUAUAUAAUAGGUUUCUAAUAGGGCACAUUAUCUGACUACAAUUUUGGAGAGAUGCAGUCAUUGUAGCACUGCUUAACUAAUAUCCACUUUUUAAACAAUGAAAGGUUUUUUUACAUUACUUCCUGUCUUCACUUCUAAUUUUUGCAGUUUUAAUCGUGACUGGAAAAAAAUAGAAGCAUUUGUUGGCUCAAAGACAGUGAUCCAGAUAAGAAGCCAUGCGCAGAAAUACUUUUUGAAAGUUCAAAAGAAUGGGACAAGUGAACAUGUCCCGCCCCCUCGGCCCAAGCGUAAAGCAGCUCAUCCAUAUCCGCAGAAAGCCUCUAAAAAUGCUCCUCUGCUGUCUCAAACAACAGUUCCAUUUCAAACUUCCUCCUGCAUACUUGAGCCAGGAUACGCUCUUGGAACAGAAACGUCCUCCAUACUUGGAAACUCAAGUGCAAGUGCAACAGUAUCUUCCUGGGCUUCUAUCUCUGUCCAGCCUAAUGCUUCACAUAUAACAAAAGUUAUGCCAGACUUUGCUCAAGUAUACAGCUUUAUAGGCAGUGUGUUUGAUCCAAGCACAGGUGGUCACUUGCAGAAACUAAAGGAGAUGGAUCCUAUUGAUGUCGAAACAGUUUUAUUGUUGAUGAAAAAUCUCUCCAUCAAUUUGAGCCGCCCUGAUUUCGAGGACCAUGUUACUCUUAUCAUAUGAUGUUGGCAUAAAAGAACUUAAGCCGGGAAGUAUGAACAGCAUGCUUCAAGCUGAUAAACCCAUGAGUGCUCCAUCCAUGGUGAAAGGUAACUAAUGGUUAGAGCUCCCAACUUGUAUGUAAAUUAAUCUUAUGACUUGUAUGAUAUUCUCAACGCAAGUUGUCAAAUGGAGAAUUCAUCCCCACUUCGCCGUCAGUAUAAUUGAAGCACACAAGGCCUUGGUAUUCAAAUAAGCGAUUAAGAAGAAUUUGUUACGGGGUUAUUCCUGUACAUUUCUCAGCAACCCCAAUGCUGAGUGCAAGUUUUGGCUCUAUAACAGUUCUGAGAUCUGUGAGUCAUGUAAAUUCUCAAUAGCCAUCUAUCAGUGAAGGCAUUCCAGAUCCAUUACCAAUAUACUUGUGAUAGCGUGCAAGAAGACUACCCUAGUUUAAAAUCUCUCUCUGAUGCUUUUCAA